UCCAGUGCUGCCUGCCUGCUUCCUGUCAGACACUGACCACAGGUGCUGUGUCCUCCAACUUUCCAGGGAGCAAUUCCGAUGGUGGUGGUGGCAGGCCCAGGAAGGAGUCAGCUGCCACAGGGAAAGCCCCCACCCGGGUGGAAGAGAGAAAAGGAACAUCCGGGAGGCCAGGGAUCAGAGGCUGAGGCUUUCCUGCAACAGCGGCCAUAACAGAAAAACAAUGGAUACAUUAGCAACGUCUUGUUUCCUUUUGCUCUGCCAAGCAAAAGCAUGGAAACCUCUGGGGAAUUCACUUGACAAGCUAAGAACAGGAGCUGCUGGCUGCAUGCAGCUCCUCUCCCAGUGCCAAAAACAUCAGGAAGAUGUCAGCUCAACAAGGUCAUCAGUGAGCUGAAUGGAAGACAUUGAGAAUGUCAUCGCCUACGGUGUUGGCAAGCACCAGUGUGCCCGCAGGUGGGGCUGUGGCUGUUUCUACUGCCCGGGUCUCUGCAGCGCCUCCCACUGCCCCGCCCCUACUCCAUGAGCCCCACCCCCAACCACAGCAGCAGAGGGGGUGAGAAGGGGAUAACGCUUGGGAUUUGGUUUGCUUGACUAAAUUCCUAUAGAGCGUUUUGUUGUUGU
Molecule: small RNA, 621 nt
Filed under: Rattus norvegicus (Norway rat)
Lineage: Eukaryota; Metazoa; Chordata; Mammalia; Rodentia; Muridae
Description: uncharacterized LOC103692952
Source: RNAcentral